CCCUUGGUAGUUCAGUGGUAGAGCGAUCCGCUGAUGUUAAUUUACUGGUGUAGGUUUGAAUCCUACUUGGGGAG
Triticum aestivum (bread wheat) is the source of this 74-nucleotide non-coding RNA. The record is from Rfam. Lineage: Eukaryota; Viridiplantae; Streptophyta; Magnoliopsida; Poales; Poaceae.